CAGGCUUAACACAUGCAAGUCGAGGGGCAUCAGGAAGAAAGCUUGCUUUCUUUGCUGGCGACCGGCGCACGGGUGAGUAACACGUAUCCAACCUGCCCUUUACUCGGGGAUAGCCUUUCGAAAGAAAGAUUAAUACCCGAUAGCAUAAUGAUUCCGCAUGGUUUCAUUAUUAAAGGAUUCCGGUAAAGGAUGGGGAUGCGUUCCAUUAGGUUGUUGGUGAGGUAACGGCCCACCAAGCCUUCGAUGGAUAGGGGUUCUGAGAGGAAGGUCCCCCACAUUGGAACUGAGACACGGUCCAAACUCCUACGGGAGGCAGCAGUGAGGAAUAUUGGUCAAUGGGCGCUAGCCUGAACCAGCCAAGUAGCGUGAAGGAUGAAGGCUCUAUGGGUCGUAAACUUCUUUUAUAUAAGAAUAAAGUGCAGUAUGUAUACUGUUUUGUAUGUAUUAUAUGAAUAAGGAUCGGCUAACUCCGUGCCAGCAGCCGCGGUAAUACGGAGGAUCCGAGCGUUAUCCGGAUUUAUUGGGUUUAAAGGGAGCGUAGGUGGACUGGUAAGUCAGUUGUGAAAGUUUGCGGCUCAACCGUAAAAUUGCAGUUGAUACUGUCAGUCUUGAGUACAGUAGAGGUGGGCGGAAUUCGUGGUGUAGCGGUGAAAUGCUUAGAUAUCACGAAGAACUCCGAUUGCGAAGGCAGCUCACUGGACUGCAACUGACACUGAUGCUCGAAAGUGUGGGUAUCAAACAGGAUUAGAUACCCUGGUAGUCCACACAGUAAACGAUGAAUACUCGCUGUUUGCGAUAUACAGUAAGCGGCCAAGCGAAAGCAUUAAGUAUUCCACCUGGGGAGUACGCCGGCAACGGUGAAACUCAAAGGAAUUGACGGGGGCCCGCACAAGCGGAGGAACAUGUGGUUUAAUUCGAUGAUACGCGAGGAACCUUACCCGGGCUUAAAUUGCAGUGGAAUGAUGUGGAAACAUGUCAGUGAGCAAUCACCGCUGUGAAGGUGCUGCAUGGUUGUCGUCAGCUCGUGCCGUGAGGUGUCGGCUUAAGUGCCAUAACGAGCGCAACCCUUAUCUUUAGUUACUAACAGGUUAUGCUGAGGACUCUGGAGAGACUGCCGUCGUAAGAUGUGAGGAAGGUGGGGAUGACGUCAAAUCAGCACGGCCCUUACGUCCGGGGCUACACACGUGUUACAAUGGGGGGUACAGAAGGCAGCUAGCGGGUGACCGUAUGCUAAUCCCAAAAGUCUCUCUCAGUUCGGAUCGAAGUCUGCAACCCGACUUCGUGAAGCUGGAUUCGCUAGUAAUCGCGCAUCAGCCACGGCGCGGUGAAUACGUUCCCGGGCCUUGUACACACCGCCCGUCAAGCCAUGGGAGCCGGGGGUACCUGAAGUACGUAACCGCAAGGAUCGUCCUAGGGUAAAACUGGUGACUGGGGCUAAGUC
Molecule: ribosomal RNA, 1441 nt
Filed under: uncultured organism
Description: 16S ribosomal RNA
Rfam family: Bacterial small subunit ribosomal RNA
Source: RNAcentral